Molecule: ribosomal RNA, 422 nt
Filed under: uncultured eukaryote
Lineage: Eukaryota
Description: bacterial SSU rRNA
Rfam family: Eukaryotic small subunit ribosomal RNA
Source: RNAcentral
CAAUAGCGUAUACUAAUGUUGUUGCAGUUAAAAGCUCGUAGUUGGAUUUCUGGGAUUUUCAGCCGGCCGGCUCUUAGGAGUUGUAGCUAGGUUUGCAAGUCUCAUCUUCUCACAAUUCUCACUGGCCUUAACUGUUCGGUGCAGAGGACUGAGUCGUUUACUUUGAGAAAAUUAGAGUGUUCAAAGCAGGCUAUCGCCUUGAAUAUAUUAGCAUGGAAUAAUGGAAUAGGACUUUGGUCCCAUUUUGUUGGUUUCUAGGGCCGAAGUAAUGAUUAAGAGGGACAAUUGGGGGCAUCCGUAUUUCGUUGUCAGAGGUGAAAUUCUUGGAUUUACGAAAGACGAACAACUGCGAAAGCACUUGCCAAGAGUGUUUUCAUUAAUCAAGAACGAAAGUUAGAGGAUCGAAGACGAUCAGAUACCGU